GCGUUGGUGGUUUAUUGGUUAGCAUGGUUGCCUUCCAAGCAGUCGAUCCGGGUUCGAUUCCCGGCUAACGCA
RNAcentral lists this transfer RNA (72 nucleotides) under Dreissena polymorpha. It matches the Rfam family "tRNA". From Rfam's summary of the family: Transfer RNA (tRNA) molecules are approximately 80 nucleotides in length. Their secondary structure includes four short double-helical elements and three loops (D, anti-codon, and T loops). The record is from Rfam by way of RNAcentral. Lineage: Eukaryota; Metazoa; Mollusca; Bivalvia; Myida; Dreissenidae.